GGUUCAAUGAUGAUGUUCAAAUAUGCAUUCCUUGGAAAGAUAAAGUGAGUGAAACAUUUUAAAAAUGUUUGUUUAUUUGAAAGGC
Molecule: small nucleolar RNA, 85 nt
Organism: Oryctolagus cuniculus (rabbit)
Lineage: Eukaryota; Metazoa; Chordata; Mammalia; Lagomorpha; Leporidae
Gene: SNORD116
Rfam family: Small nucleolar RNA SNORD116
About the family: HBII-85 is a member of the C/D class of snoRNAs, which contain the C (UGAUGA) and D (CUGA) box motifs.
Source: Ensembl